CCUUAGAUGUUCUGGGCCGCACGCGCGCUACACUGACGGAGCCAGCGAGUACUUCCUUGGCCGAAAGGCCCGGGUAAUCUUGUGAAACUCCGUCGUGCUGGGGAUAGAGCAUUGCAAUUAUUGCUCUUCAACGAGGAAUCCCUAGUAAGCGCAAGUCAUCAGCUUGCGUUGAUUACGUCCCUGCCCUUUGUACACACCGCCCGUCGCUACUACCGAUUGAAUGGCUCGGCCCGUGCCCCCGCCCCGCCCGCCGCCGC
RNAcentral lists this ribosomal RNA (257 nucleotides) under Hypocreales sp. RNAcentral describes it as "partial small subunit ribosomal RNA". It matches the Rfam family "Eukaryotic small subunit ribosomal RNA", at positions 1471 to 1729 of the family's 1831-position model. The record is from RNAcentral. Lineage: Eukaryota; Fungi; Ascomycota; Sordariomycetes; Hypocreales.